Molecule: transfer RNA, 68 nt
Filed under: Labidostomis ghilianii
Lineage: Eukaryota; Metazoa; Arthropoda; Insecta; Coleoptera; Chrysomelidae
Description: tRNA-Ser
Rfam family: tRNA
About the family: Transfer RNA (tRNA) molecules are approximately 80 nucleotides in length. Their secondary structure includes four short double-helical elements and three loops (D, anti-codon, and T loops).
Source: RNAcentral
AGCUAAUGAGCUUGAUAUAAGCAUGUGUUUUGAAAACACAAGAUAGAGAUUAAAUUCUCUAUUAGCUU